Molecule: ribosomal RNA, 117 nt
Filed under: Christensenellaceae bacterium
Lineage: Bacteria; Bacillati; Bacillota; Clostridia; Christensenellales; Christensenellaceae
Source: RNAcentral
ACUGGUGACCAUAGAGAGAAAGACCCACCCGUUCUCAUCCCGAACACGGAAGUUAAGUUUCUCAUCGCCGAAAAUAGUUGGCUGGAGACGGCCCGUCAAGAUAGGACAUUGCCAGUG